CCGUCCCCGUCCCACGAAAAAAAGCCCCAAAUCGUGCGUGCGUGCUCCAACUGAUUUGCGGCCUGCAGCGACUGGCGAGCGGCUGCAGCUGGCAUUGCGGCGAGGCUUGGCAGCGUCGGCGCCGGCGCCUGGGGAAGGAGUAAUCGGCGGCGGCUAAGAAGGGUGGUGCGAGAGAGCAGACGCUCCGCGGCUGGCUGCGCGGGUCGUGGCUGCGGCGGGCGACGCGGCGGGCCGGCUUGAGCCUAGGCGGCAGCGGCGGCUGGGGCCUGAGCGACCAGCAGCUCGAAGGGGACGCCUACCGCGAGCUCGCAGAGUGCAAGGCCUCCUCCUCCACCGUGGCUGCACAGCGCUCCGACCUCCCGUCAUAAUUCGUUCCGCCGAUCGUAAUUCCAGCUUUGGGAUCCAUCAAUCGAUUGAGUGUUGGCUGGCUGGCUAAACGAUCCAUCUGCUGGGAGCCUGGGAGUGACAGACUGAUUGGAGAGGGAGUACCAUAUAUACGUGCCUGGUGGAAUGAUCAACGGCGCCGUCGCCUAUGCCUCCUCCUCUUCCUCGGCCAGGUUAGCACAUGGCCGCGAAUUCUAGCGCCUUGCAAUUUUCCAUUUCAGUUAUCUGGAGAAGUUCUUUACCUCAUUCUCUGGAGAGUUCAGGCCCAUGAUAUAGCCCAAUAAUAAUAACAUGUGAAAAUCUUGUUUUAAAGCUCUGUUUGUGCAUCCUCUCCCUUAAAACUAAGUUGCACACCUGUAUAUAGCCCAAUAUUUCUUUUUCUGGUAUCCACGUCCAUGUAAUGUAUUUUGCUUAUGAAUGUGUCUUUUGUAUCGGCAAAUGUGCAACAAGACAUAUCCUCAAAAUGUUGUAUUGCUUGAAUGAUGCAAUUCUUGGUCGUUACUUUUUGUAA
Molecule: long non-coding RNA, 895 nt
Organism: Brachypodium distachyon (stiff brome)
Lineage: Eukaryota; Viridiplantae; Streptophyta; Magnoliopsida; Poales; Poaceae
Exons: 4
Source: RefSeq, a predicted model, not a curated record